Molecule: transfer-messenger RNA, 350 nt
Filed under: bovine gut metagenome
Rfam family: transfer-messenger RNA
About the family: Bacterial tmRNA, also known as 10Sa RNA or SsrA, is named for its dual tRNA and mRNA-like properties. Its role is to liberate the mRNA from a stalled ribosome.
Source: RNAcentral
GGGGGUGAUCCGGUUUCGACGGGACGAGUUGAGGUCGGGUAGCGCGUCGUGGAUUCUCGUUGGCCACGUUAAAAAACGGGAACACCAAGUAACUGCGAACAACAGCUACAAAAUGGCCGCCUAAAUUUGGCCGCCGUGUCGAAGCGCCGAUGUCUGCUGAGCGCCUAGGCAUCAUCUAGCAGGCCACGCUUAGGGGGGCUCCGCUCGCUCGCUUAAGGGUGCCGAAUCGAACGGAUGGAUGCGGAUAAGCCCGUGCGUCGGCAUACCGCGUCCGAGAUCAAUGGCGCAAUACACGCGUAGAAGCUCGGGUGAUGCCGUUUCGGACAGGGGUUCGACUCCCCUCACCUCCA